Molecule: small nucleolar RNA, 128 nt
Filed under: Dasypus novemcinctus (nine-banded armadillo)
Lineage: Eukaryota; Metazoa; Chordata; Mammalia; Cingulata; Dasypodidae
Description: Small nucleolar RNA SNORA32 (ENSDNOG00000028161.1)
Source: RNAcentral
AUAAUACUGCUCUGUUCAUUAGAAUGUUGUUUUUGAUCUGCUAUGGAGGUGACCAUAAAAAAAUACCCUUCCCACUAGGUUUUCUUUUUGCUGCCUUGCUAAAAUUCAGCCUGUUAUAGGGAACAUUC